CUUAUUUGGUCAUUGGACCAGGCUUGGAUCAAAAGAGACUUGGCGUGGAUAUUGAUUAGGUUCACAUCUAAAUAGAACUUGGUUCCAAGUUGGACUCAACACAGAUCUAGACCAUGCUCGGAAUUAAACAGGGCCUGGAUCUGGAUUCGCCUGUGAGAUGGAAUAUCAGGAUCAGGCUUGGAAUUUAAUAGAAGACAUCAAGUUGACAAACUAUCCUUAGAUAAAAU
RNAcentral lists this long non-coding RNA (227 nucleotides) under Elaeis guineensis (African oil palm). RNAcentral describes it as "long non-coding RNA (EGUI_LNC077689)". The record is from RNAcentral. Lineage: Eukaryota; Viridiplantae; Streptophyta; Magnoliopsida; Arecales; Arecaceae.